AGUUGCCUUAUCGGCAGAGGCUUUUCAAAGCAUUAGAAAAAAUGCUUUGAAAAGUUAAAAAAAAAAAAGUUGGCUACGCCCACCCAGUCACGCCCACAGAACCGGUAGUAACAAAUUUUACAUUUCACCCCUGGAUCAACUAAACAAUUAAUUUCUCAGUUAAUUUACCUCUAACUUUGCUCUACUGGACCUGCUAUUGGAAUUACAAUUUAAUAUACUUUUCUAUUCAAAUUAUUUUUUAAAAAAUGAAAAUAUUGAUCAUUUUUAAAAAUACUUUUUUCCUUAGAUUGACAUUAGUGAAGACAACUCAGUAGUUAAAGAUGAUCAUUGAGGAGAAAGGGAGGAGAAUAUGUUAAUGUUUUCUUUGAGUUGAAUUUGACUGCUGGUGACUUCAAAGACCUGUUCAUGCAAGUUCUCUGCGUAACAGCAUAGAAGCAAUUUACCACAAUUGGUCAACCUCUAGUAGCCUAAUCCUGCUUAGCUUCUUUUUAUCCAAGAUUAUGCUGAAUGCUCCUAUGGAUAGAGAUCUUGCAAAACAAGCUGUGGUUCUUGCAAUUUUAAGCAAUUUAAAGAUUUUUAUUUGAACUGGAACUCAAUUACAUGGGUGCCAAUAAGCAGGAAAGAGUGGAGUAAAUGGCCAGAGUAAGUCCUUAUGAGCAUUUCAUAACUGCCAAACAAGGAAUUGUUUUAUAUUUUAUUUAGGAUUGUUUACAUAAACAAUUGAAGUCUCCAAAAGGGGUAGUGGUGGUUGUAUCUCUCCAGUCUUAUUAAAUUAUUUUUAAAUUCUUUCCUUAGUGUCUUCUUCCAAACUUAACAUUCUAAUGCAUGAGUGUCAAACUCGCGUCAUCACAGCGGCAUCACGUGAUAUAUCGGGAUUUUUUCCCCUUUCACUAAACCAGGCGUGGGCAGGGCCAGCGCGUGACGCAUCCAGCCCAUGAGGGCCGUGAGUUUGACAGCCCUGUUCUAACUGACCUAUAUCUAUUCUAUAGAUAUAGAUAACUGUUCUAACCUUCUUCUAACUGACAUAUAUCUUGACCGAUAUGAAUCAAUAAAAUGUCAACCUACUUUUUCUAUUAAAAACUUAUCAGUUGUGAAAAUUAAAUAAUGCAUGUGAAUACCAGAUGUUUAAGAUAAACAAGAGGAAGAUGUUGACUUUUCCUGAUAAUGCUCCACUUGUAAAUUUCACAAAGGCAUGCAUCUUACUCACUACAGCCUAAUUCUGUUGAUAUACUUCCCUGUUUAUUGGGAGAAGACUGCAAGAGAAAUUAAAGUGAAAUUUGAAGAGGCAGCUUUCCAGUCUGGGCCAGCUGCCUUCCGCUACACUGCCCUCAAGGCUUGUCUAAUACCAUGACAGCAUCUGUUUGUGGGCCAAGUCUCCAUAGCAGAGGCAAGAAUUUUGAAAUGUUGAUCUAGUGCAGCGCCAGUCAUCGAAACACAAAGGCGACGCGGCCAGAAGCGGAUUACUAACAGGAGCAGCGCUCGUCUGCCAAUCCGAUCCUAUUUCCUGGAGUAUUUUCUCACCGGCAGGCGCCAAGUCGCAUUCAGAUUGGUAUUUGAUUCUUGGCUGAUUCUACGGUUUUCAUGACAGGCAGGAAGAGAACAAAAAUGUGUCUUUUCCUCGUUCUCUACUCACAUGGCCAAACAAGGACUGCCUGCGGAUUUUAGGCCUACGUAAAACACCCGGAAGUGUGCAGACUUCUAGCAAAAUGUCACAACGUCUUGCCAAGAGAACAAAUCCAUCUUACCUUUAAAGAUACCGUACUCGAUUUGGGUAUGCUUUGCUCAGUAAACCCACGAGUGAUCUCUGCGGAUACAAAACGGCGUUUCUUCUUUUCAACCUUUUUCUAAUCGUCCUUGCUUCACCCUCCAAUCAGAAUGGACUAUAUUUGCAUAAAUUAGUGCCGAACUCAAAAAGGUUACCGGAUAUCGGCGCCAGCUGCAACAUGCUCUUAUCUCGCGAGGAGCUACACCCAUGUUUUACUGCAUCUUGUGGAAUGAUGAAUCCUUAGCGGGUUGGUUAAGUUUUUCUUUUUUGCACUAUUACGCUUGACUCCUGGCAGCUACUUUUCGGUCCACGCACUUUAAAAGCUGUUCAAAUGCGGCCGCCUUACGGGUUGUAGGGGUGGUUACCUGGCCCACUUUCACUCCACUGGCUUUUUGUAGCUAAGGCAGAAUUAGAGCACAUAGCCCUCCACUUAACCAGACUUAGAAGUGUGUAUGUGGGCGAAUCAAUCUUCGUUCAUGCAGUUUUGAAAUGUGAAACUCUUCAGAAUCUUCAGUUCAGCAAUCUGCAGUAUGUAAUUCAAUCUUCCUUACACCAUCUGGGUCUUACUGGUUUUAACGUUUCCUAUUAGUUUUUUAAAAAUCAUCCCACACCAUCCUACAGGGUCCCUUUUAUAUCAGGAUUUUCUCCCUGCACAGGAAACACUUGAAAAUACUGUUCAUUCAAAAACUAAGAACUUUUUUAAAGGAAAUAUUCAUUCAUGGAAAUCCCAUUGAAUUCAACAAGGCUUACUUCUUGACAAGCAAAUCACCUAACUCUACAAGGGAGACAGAAAAUGUACCUACCAUUUCUGGUGUUUCUAUGUCAUCACAAGCACUGACAUGACACUGCAUCAUCUUGCCAAGCAGAACACAGCACAAAGAAAGGGGGAGGGGAGGAAAUCAGUGAGGAACUUCAAGCAAAAUUUUCUGCUGAACACAUACCCAACAGAGAUCAUCCUUAAUGAGUUUUAAGAAAGUAAACUUACCCGCCU
Molecule: non-coding RNA, 2756 nt
Organism: Pantherophis guttatus
Lineage: Eukaryota; Metazoa; Chordata; Lepidosauria; Squamata; Colubridae
Source: RefSeq, a predicted model, not a curated record